CGAGCUGGAACACACUGUCUCCUUUCUUGUACAGACAGCCGGCGACUGCCUUUCGAGCGGCCAACACUUUCCACGAUCAAGAACGUACAGAGAUGGCAGAACGAAAUGAGUACGAUACUCGAUGGAUAUCAGGUAGAUUAUGCUCAGUGAGCCCCAGCGGUCAGCGGCGGCGGCAGCUGGUCUAUCCCAAAAAGGCCGCAGAGCCAGUGGCAUGGGCUGCCCGAGAAAAUCACCCGCUUCUCCGACAUAACCUAAACAGGGCCGACCAUGGAAACUCUACGGGCCCCAUAGCUAAAGGUCUCUAUCCCACCGCCUGUCAUCAAGCCCCUGGACGUCUUCGAUCUCGGCGAAAGACAGAAGAAAGGAGUUGCCUCAGUACCAGCAUUCGCCAGAGCUGGCGUAGAUCGCCAUGCCCCUGCCUCUUCCCCCUUCAUUCGAUUUUCUACACACAGUGGGCAAAAAGAGUUCAGGGUCCGCAUGCUGAAAUUUAUCUCCGCUGCAAGGCGAACGUAUUUGUUUCGCGGAAGUAUAGCCGUUUGGGGUUCGUAGGUACGCUGGUGGCUGUGAGGCAAGCAACGUUUUUCCAAGUGGGAGGGAACUGUCGAGAACGCGUGGCAUUUUUGUGUGCUUCCGUGAUUGGUGCUACGGCACUUCAAACGUGAGGCCAAGCCGAGAAUCAAUCCUGAGCGUCGCGAC
RNAcentral lists this long non-coding RNA (696 nucleotides) under Toxoplasma gondii VEG. The record is from RNAcentral. Lineage: Eukaryota; Apicomplexa; Conoidasida; Eucoccidiorida; Sarcocystidae.